Molecule: non-coding RNA, 308 nt
Organism: Pelobates cultripes (western spadefoot toad)
Lineage: Eukaryota; Metazoa; Chordata; Amphibia; Anura; Pelobatidae
Source: the annotation of a GenBank genome assembly
CACAGGGCCCCCCUCCAUUCCCUACCUAUUAGUGAAGAUCCGUUCGGCAGAGUAGCUGUUGACAUUAUAGUUGAGCAGGCACUUUGUUUACUUUAGAGAACCUUGGGCCAAUCGAACGUCCGCGUGACUGCGACUUUGCAUUCGGAUGUCAUCCAUAUCAACUUUCGAUGCCAGUUUCUGCGCCUACCAUGGUGACCACGGGGAAUCAGGGUUGGAUUAUGGAGAUGGAAUCUUAGAAACGGCUACCACAUGCAAGGAAGGCAGCAGGCGCGCAAAUUACCCACUCCCGACGCGGGAAGGUAGUGACG